UUGCUACUCCCUCCGUCCGAAAAUACUUGUCAUCAAAAUGGACUAGAAGGAAUGUAUCUAUAACUAAAAUACAUAUAUAUACACCUCUUUUUAUUCAUUUUGGUGACAAGUAUUUCCAGAUGGAGAGAGCNNNNN
Molecule: non-coding RNA, 135 nt
Organism: Triticum aestivum (bread wheat)
Lineage: Eukaryota; Viridiplantae; Streptophyta; Magnoliopsida; Poales; Poaceae
Source: Rfam